UACGUAGGGUGCAAGCGUUGUCCGGAAUUAUUGGGCGUAAAGAGCUCGUAGGCGGUUUGUCGCGUCUGCUGUGAAAUCCCGAGGCUCAACCUCGGGCCUGCAGUGGGUACGGGCAGACUGGAGUGCGGUAGGGGAGAAUGGAACUCCUGGUGUAGCGGUGGAAUGCGCAGAUAUCAGGAAGAACACCGAUGGCGAAGGCAGUUCUCUGGGCCGUAACUGACGCUGAGGAGCGAAAGCGUGGGGAGCGAACAGG
RNAcentral lists this ribosomal RNA (253 nucleotides) under uncultured bacterium. RNAcentral describes it as "partial 16S ribosomal RNA". It matches the Rfam family "Bacterial small subunit ribosomal RNA", at positions 524 to 776 of the family's 1533-position model. The record is from RNAcentral.